CUACGGGGCGCAGCAGUGAGGAAUAUUGCACAAUGGGGGGAACCCUGAUGCAGCAACGCCGCGUGGAGGAUGACGCAUUUCGGUGUGUACCCUCCUUUUCUCUUUCACGAAAAUGACGGUAGCAUAUGAAUAAGCACCGGCUAACUCCGUGCCAGCAGCCGCGGUAAUACGGAGGGUGCAAGCGUUACUCGGAAUCACUGGGCGUAAAGGACGCGUAGGCGGGUUGGAAAGUCAGGUGUGAAAUCCUACAGCUUAACUGUAGAACUGCACUUGAAACUUCUAAUCUAGAGUAUGGGAGGGGGAGAUGGAAUUAGUGGUGUAGGGGUAAAAUCCGUAGAUAUCACUAGGAAUACCUAAAGCGAAGGCGAUCUCCUGGAACAUUACUGACGCUAAGGCGUGAAAGCGUGGGGAGCAAACAGGAUUAGAUACCCCUGUAGUC
Molecule: ribosomal RNA, 439 nt
Filed under: uncultured bacterium
Lineage: Bacteria
Description: partial 16S ribosomal RNA
Rfam family: Bacterial small subunit ribosomal RNA
Source: RNAcentral